CUUGAGAGCGGCGGACGGGUGAGUAAUGCCUAGGAAUCUGCCUGGUAGUGGGGGAUAACGUUCGGAAACGGACGCUAAUACCGCAUACGUCCUACGGGAGAAAGCAGGGGACCUUCGGGCCUUGCGCUAUCAGAUGAGCCUAGGUCGGAUUAGCUAGUUGGUGAGGUAAUGGCUCACCAAGGCGACGAUCCGUAACUGGUCUGAGAGGAUGAUCAGUCACACUGGAACUGAGACACGGUCCAGACUCCUACGGGAGGCAGCAGUGGGGAAUAUUGGACAAUGGGCGAAAGCCUGAUCCAGCCAUGCCGCGUGUGUGAAGAAGGUCUUCGGAUUGUAAAGCACUUUAAGUUGGGAGGAAGGGUUGUAGAUUAAUACUCUGCAAUUUUGACGUUACCGACAGAAUAAGCACCGGCUAACUCUGUGCCAGCAGCCGCGGUAAUACAGAGGGUGCAAGCGUUAAUCGGAAUUACUGGGCGUAAAGCGCGCGUAGGUGGUUUGUUAAGUUGGAUGUGAAAUCCCCGGGCUCAACCUGGGAACUGCAUUCAAAACUGACUGACUAGAGUAUGGUAGAGGGUGGUGGAAUUUCCUGUGUAGCGGUGAAAUGCGUAGAUAUAGGAAGGAACACCAGUGGCGAAGGCGACCACCUGGACUAAUACUGACACUGAGGUGCGAAAGCGUGGGGAGCAAACAGGAUUAGAUACCCUGGUAGUCCACGCCGUAAACGAUGUCAACUAGCCGUUGGAAGCCUUGAGCUUUUAGUGGCGCAGCUAACGCAUUAAGUUGACCGCCUGGGGAGUACGGCCGCAAGGUUAAAACUCAAAUGAAUGACGGG
This 832-nucleotide ribosomal RNA is filed under the name Pseudomonas sp. Its description in RNAcentral is "bacterial SSU rRNA". It matches the Rfam family "Bacterial small subunit ribosomal RNA", at positions 88 to 917 of the family's 1533-position model. Lineage: Bacteria; Pseudomonadati; Pseudomonadota; Gammaproteobacteria; Pseudomonadales; Pseudomonadaceae. The record is from RNAcentral.